RNAcentral lists this transfer RNA (77 nucleotides) under Candidatus Aminicenantes bacterium RBG_13_63_10. RNAcentral describes it as "tRNA-Arg". It matches the Rfam family "tRNA". Rfam says of the family: Transfer RNA (tRNA) molecules are approximately 80 nucleotides in length. Their secondary structure includes four short double-helical elements and three loops (D, anti-codon, and T loops). Lineage: Bacteria; Candidatus Aminicenantota. The record is from RNAcentral. RNAcentral also lists the same sequence under 6 other names.
GCGCCUGUAGCUCAGGUGGAUAGAGCAGCUGCCUUCUAAGCAGCGGGUCGGGAGUUCGAGUCUCUCCAGGCGCGCCA